GAGGAAUAUUGGUCAAUGGGCGCAAGCCUGAACCAGCCAUCCCGCGUGCAGGAAGACGGCCCUAUGGGUUGUAAACUGCUUUUCCAGGGGGAGAAUUUUUCUGUCGUGACAGGAAUUGACGGUGCCCGGGGAAUAAGCAUCGGCUAACUCCGUGCCAGCAGCCGCGGUAAUACGGAGGAUGCGAGCGUUAUCCGGAUUUAUUGGGUUUAAAGGGUGCGUAGGCGGAUUGAUAAGUCAGUGGUGAAAACCUGCAGCUUAACUGUAGACUUGCCGUUGAUACUGUCAGUCUUGAGUGUGGUCAAGGUAGGCGGAAUGUGUAAUGUAGCGGUGAAAUGCUUAGAUAUUACACAGAACACCGAUUGCGAAGGCAGCUUACUGGGCCAUUACUGACGCUGAGGCACGAAAGCGUGGGGAUCGAACAG
This 422-nucleotide ribosomal RNA is filed under the name uncultured bacterium. RNAcentral describes it as "bacterial SSU rRNA". It matches the Rfam family "Bacterial small subunit ribosomal RNA", at positions 356 to 775 of the family's 1533-position model. The record is from RNAcentral.